CAGGAAUUGGAGACUCACCUUUCUUUGACGCUAUUUUAUGCGUUUGGUCUUUGGCUAUGCUAAUUUCCAGAGGCCUUGGUUUAUGAUUGAGUUGUGCAUAAUAGGCCAAAUUAUUCUGGGUCAACUCACUCAUAUUACAAAUAAUCAGCUGGUCUAUUGUGUGCUCAUCUUCAUGGUGCAUUUUCAUUGAAAAUAGAAAUGAAUGAAUUUAUGCAAUACUAUCCCAAGAUCCC
Molecule: unclassified non-coding RNA, 233 nt
Filed under: Hevea brasiliensis (rubber tree)
Lineage: Eukaryota; Viridiplantae; Streptophyta; Magnoliopsida; Malpighiales; Euphorbiaceae
Source: RNAcentral